GGGGGGGGUAAGCGUUGUUCGGAAUUACUGGGCGUAAAGGGCUCGUAGGCGGCCAACUAAGUCAGACGUGAAAUCCCUCAGCUUAACUGGGGAACUGCGUCUGAUACUGGAUGGCUUGGAUUCGGGAGAGGAAUGCGGAAUUCCAGGUGUAGCGGUGAAAUGCGUAGAUAUCUGGAGGAACACCGGUGGCGAAGGCGGCAUUCUGGACCGACAUUGACGCUGAGGAGCGAAAGCCAGGGGAGCAAACGGGAUUAGAUACCCCGGUAGUCCUGGCCCUAAACGAUGAAUGCUUGGUGUGGCGGGUAUCGAUCCCUGCCGUGCCGAAGCUAACGCAUUAAGCAUUCCGCCUGGGGAGUACGGUCGCAAGGCUG
RNAcentral lists this ribosomal RNA (371 nucleotides) under uncultured bacterium. RNAcentral describes it as "bacterial SSU rRNA". It matches the Rfam family "Bacterial small subunit ribosomal RNA", at positions 527 to 896 of the family's 1533-position model. The record is from RNAcentral.